This 372-nucleotide ribosomal RNA is filed under the name uncultured bacterium. RNAcentral's name for it is "bacterial SSU rRNA". It matches the Rfam family "Bacterial small subunit ribosomal RNA", at positions 525 to 896 of the family's 1533-position model. The record is from RNAcentral.
ACGUAGGGUGCAGGCGUUAAUCGGAAUUACUGGGCGUAAAGCGUGCGCAGGCGGCUUCCUAAGUCAGAUGUGAAAUCCCCGGGCUCAACCUGGGAACUGCGUUUGAAACUGGGAGGCUAGAGUGCGGCAGAGGGAGGUGGAAUUCCACGUGUAGCAGUGAAAUGCGUAGAUAUGUGGAGGAACACCGAUGGCGAAGGCAGCCUCCUGGGCCAGCACUGACGCUCAUGCACGAAAGCGUGGGGAGCAAACAGGAUUAGAUACCCUGGUAGUCCACGCCCUAAACUAUGUCGACUAGUUGUUGGGGGAGUCUGUCCCUCAGUAACGCAGCUAACGCGUGAAGUCGACCGCCUGGGGAGUACGGUCGCAAGAUUA